Molecule: long non-coding RNA, 422 nt
Organism: Bactrocera dorsalis (oriental fruit fly)
Lineage: Eukaryota; Metazoa; Arthropoda; Insecta; Diptera; Tephritidae
Exons: 2
Source: RefSeq, a predicted model, not a curated record
AGUAUAAUGCCACAGGCCAAGUUGUAGCGCUUGGUUAAACCAGCUUCUUUCAUUUAGGGCCCACUGCUAAUAAGAAUUAGAAAAACAUCGCAAAUUAUAAUCAAAAUACGUGCCCUAAACUCAGUCGUAUGCUAAUGUAUAUGUAUAUUUAAUGAGCCAUCCCAAAUGUAAAUAAAAAUGCGAAAAGUCAAUCUAAAACCCAACAAAAUCGUUAAUUAGUAAAAUUAUUAUUCGUGGACGUACGAUGAACACCAGCUGUCAUGCCAAUAGACACAGCACAAAUGAAUGAAUGAACACUAGAAACGUAUUCAAUUCUAUAUUCGCUUGUAAAAGCGUUCACCAGCGGUUAAUGAUUCAUGAAUUAAUCAAUACUCAUUUUUAAUAAGCCAACAACAAAAUCACUCCUUUGAGCUUUGUUUGAU